GCGCUUGUAGCUCAGUGGUAAGAGCAGAGGUCUCAUAAACCUUUGGUCGUGGGUUCAAAUCCCACCGGGCGCACCA
Molecule: transfer RNA, 76 nt
Filed under: bacterium
Lineage: Bacteria
Description: tRNA-Ile
Rfam family: tRNA
About the family: Transfer RNA (tRNA) molecules are approximately 80 nucleotides in length. Their secondary structure includes four short double-helical elements and three loops (D, anti-codon, and T loops).
Source: RNAcentral